Molecule: long non-coding RNA, 287 nt
Filed under: Panax ginseng (ginseng)
Lineage: Eukaryota; Viridiplantae; Streptophyta; Magnoliopsida; Apiales; Araliaceae
Description: long non-coding RNA (PGIN_LNC003983)
Source: RNAcentral
UAAUAUGACUGUAUUGCUUGUCUUUCUUCUCCUAGUUACUUCUCCACUUAACUCCGCUAUCAAACUAGGGAUAUUUGAACUAAGCCGAAUCUGUGGAGCGCUCUUAGCGCAAGCCAUAAGAAGGAAGCAACCUACCUUUAAUUGCUCUUUCAGCCAAGUCGAAAGAUGAAAAGGGGCUUUCUUCUAAAGUAGUCCUUUUUUUUAUAGAAGGUCAUCUCCAAGUCGAGAAAGGUUCUUUGAUUCUAUACACUAAAAACCAUGAAAUACCUCUUUUGCUUUAAAAAAAU